Pelobates cultripes (western spadefoot toad) is the source of this 201-nucleotide non-coding RNA. The record is from the annotation of a GenBank genome assembly. Lineage: Eukaryota; Metazoa; Chordata; Amphibia; Anura; Pelobatidae.
AUUUCUACCAUUUGAAACAUAUGCUAUUUAUUUUUGUUCAGGGAACAUUUUUGGCCAAAAAAUGCAAUUAGAAUCCUUUUUUUGAAUUCCCAUAGUUACUGUAGUGAGAAGUGGCGAAAACAUAAAGUUUAUUGUACUUUUUCACCUAAGAUAUUUCUGUAUUUAUUCAGGCAAAAUCAUAUAAAAUGUCUUACGGCCUAC